AUGUAAGUGUAUAAUGAGGAUAUAAGUUGUAUAGAUGAUUGCAUACAUGAAUAUAUGAAGAUGGAGUACACGCUACUUCUGUUUACAUAUACAAGUGUGUGUAAAAGUGAUGAGCUACACCCUUCAAAAAGGAUAUGUUAGGAGCUUAAGGUACAUAUGGAAAGCUACCUUUCACAAGUAGAGUACUUGACCUAUUUGAGGAGUAAAUGGAAAAGAAUACAAAUCUACUUUGCAAAACCUACUUUACAUUAGUAGCUAGAAAAGAGUAAAAUGACAACACUAGAUUCUAAUUCGUCAUGGAAAUCUUCUCCAGCUCGAUCCUUGCUCCCCACUCCACAGAAGGCCAAGUUGAAACGUUAGUAAAGCCCCUUUUUCAUCUGCCACAUCAAGCCAAAAGAGGUUAGGAUACCUCCACCAAGGAAAUCAAACAAAAUCAGCUAUUAAAGUGGGUGUAGGAGCUGUUGCGGAAGCCUAUUUAACAAUCUCAAAAGAAGGAGAGACCUUUAGCUCAGAGUAGCAAGUUAUACUCCCCAAAACCUGCCACAAAAGAUAGGGAAAUUGGCUAUAAAAUCAGCCUUCCCACUCUUUCUCGCCACCAGUAGACACCCCCAAAACUUGCGAAUGAGCAUCAAGAGGGAGAGCAGGAUUCGGCAGCAAGCUUCGGAGUUCGGGCAGUCAAAAGAAGCCAAUAACUGAGGCUAUUUUUGACUGGGAGGCAAAGUAAGGGCGACGUGAGAAUUUUAAUUGAGGAGUAAACGUAUCAGGUGUGCUUUCUUUUAAUAUCAAGUACAUUAGUGUUGAUAUAAAUCAAAUACUUGUGAAAUUAUGAAAUAUCAUCUUUUCUCAAAAUGGAGUUGUGAUGAUUUUUUUUAAGCUGUUGUCAUGUCAUAACAUGUUUGUUUUCGAGGACUAUCUGUUGGACUAUAUGUUUGUUGGUUUUGGCUACACCAAAACGUUACGAUUUGGAAUGGAGUGCGCGAGGGCUUUGAGCCAUCCAAGAGGGUUGGCCGGCUAUGGUGUCCUUGGAAGGUGGCCACAUUCUCGGUACACGACUUGCAGAUAUGAUUAAGCAAUGGGGUGGAGGCGUACUGAUCAGAGUCGAUGCUACUUAAGUAAAUAAGUGUGGAUCUUUCGACGCUUGGUGUCUUCAUACGCGAAGUAGUUUUCUGGACUUUUUCCGCUGCAAUUUGUUAAGAGAGAAUAGUGACUCUCAUCAUCAUAACUCUAAUUCAUUUUGAUGAAAUGCUAUUCUCAUUUAAAUCCUUGUAAUCGAACACUUUGGAUCCUAUCUUAUGAUAUUGUUUGACUUUUCAAUGUG
Long non-coding RNA from Salvia splendens (bonfire salvia), 1318 nucleotides. RefSeq lists it as uncharacterized. The record is from RefSeq and is a predicted model, not a curated record. NCBI's taxonomy places the organism in Eukaryota, Viridiplantae, Streptophyta, Magnoliopsida, Lamiales, Lamiaceae. The transcript has 3 exons.